GGUAACAUUAGAAUAACGGUACUCCCUUUUCAUGUGGUUACUGUGAACACUUAGUGAAUAAUGCAUAUUAUCAUGAAUAAUAUAAAGAACAGUACCUGGCUUGCCAUACCACUUAGUAACAGCUCUUCCUGAGGUGAGUACACCAAGAUCCACUUGGAGCUGCCCGGCUGUGUAUGAUGAAGAAGCCAAGUCCCCACCAGAACUGAGACUGUAGCGUUUCUAUGUUCACCGUGCAUCACACAAAGGAACUAAGCAGGGUUGCAAGCACUCCAGUAAGAAGGCAGAGAUCCGAGUUCUAAUAAGAAAUAGACCUGGACCUCAGACAGCUCACUGCCUCAGGGAAAUGAUGACAAACGAAUCAAAAUUGACAGGACUUGUGAAACGCACCAGGAUGGAGGUGUGCAGAGACAACAGGAGGCACGGCAGAGGCGCCAAGAUCAAACACAAGAUCCAUAUUCCAGAAUACUGGAGGUGUUCGCAGCUCUCUGUGGAUUCUCUGAGAACAAAGAAUGAGCCCAUUUUGACACAGAGAAGAUAAUCACUCUGCAGAAACAAUCCAAGGGUGGCAGUGGGCAGGCAGGGUAUGUAAGCACCAUCUCAUGAGCUGCACAGCAAGUGACCCAUGCAGUUAGAUCUCAGGCCUCUGUCCUAUGGUCACCACACAGCUCUGAGUUCAUGACCAUCAUCACUAGACCUGAGUGUGGACUCCUUCCUGGUGCUCCUCCGGGCAUCCAUGUAAAGAGUCUUUUGACCACUGUUCCAAAAGUCAGCUCAACAGCUUCUGAAUAACACUCGGUACCUAGCUGCAAGGCUGGUCAGUUCUACUUCCAAAAUGUGUGUCCAGCGGGUUCUUUUCUCAGCUUGUUCACUCCCAGUAACCCCCAAGACCAUCACAAAUUAACACUCAUUUUUAUCUGGACAAGGGCAGGUCCCUCCCCAUGGCUGCCACCCAUCCCCACCCACUCCCAGCCAGGGUGACUUUAACCAGAGCCAAUCAUGUCACUCUCUUGCUUUAACAGUUUCAGUGGAGUCCUCUUACUCCUCCAAUAUUCCCAAACUCUUCACGCAUCCUCAGGUCCUCUCAAGAUCCGGCCCUCUACAGUUUAGGGUUCUUCUACAGAUUGGUCUUCCUCAAUCCUCUCUCCAGGAUUCUCACAUAUACUCUUUGACCCUCCAGAGUACUCAUCCAGCCCACAAGCACCCAGCCCUGCCUGGACGAUUCCCUCAGGCCCCAGGUGAGAGGUUACCUCUCUUGGGAAGACCUGCAAGCCCUCCCCUCCCCAGCCAGAACUCUGCCUUUCCUGCAUAACAUUAAGCCCCUUUCAAGUCUUUUGUGUUUGAUGUCCGUUUGAUCUGUCUCUCCCACUCUUCUGUCUACUUCAUGAGUGAGGAGAGGCCUGCAGGCAUCUGUGAGCUGCAGUGGCUCCAUCUCUUAUCACAGCCUUCGGCACAGAGUAGACAUGCGUCCUAGCUGUUGAAUGAAGAAUGAGGAAAAAUCCCUUCUCUCUCUCCUAGAAAAAAAGCUUAUACUCACAGCCGAAUGUCUACUACUUUUGCAAGUAAAAUUAAAAGUGUGUCCCUGUGUGGCAUGCAAAUCUUAGUUAGGAUGAACAAAGGUCUCUAUGAUCAUGCCUAAAGGAAGGACACUCUUUAAAAAGGAGGAAGGACACUCUAAAAUAGAAGUCUCGCAAUUCCAUGCAUCCGCGUGUCAACUCUAAUCGCAAAUCACCAGCCUGAGAAACUGACAAGUGAUUCUGAUGCAAGUGUUUUUAAUAAAGAGCUUAGGUAGAAAUCUCAGACCCUGAGGUAGUGAUGCUGUUUAACUGGAGAGCUCAAUCGCAUCAUUGAGUCCCAGCACCCACAAGGAUUGGACGCGUGAUUUUAAACAGCUCACGGAGUCAGCGCUUCCUUCUGGUCACUCACUCCCAGAGUCCAUGUUGUUCCUGGCCCCGUCAGACGGCAGCUAAACGUCAGCCCCGAGCUAGUUGCAGUGAUGGUUUCUCAGAGGAAUAACCCCGAGCCCGUGGGUUGUCUGCCAGGGCACUGCAGGGCUGGCACAAGCCCCGUGGGCCCCCCAUGACCUCUGCCGGGUGUGCCACAUCACACUUGCACAGUGACCUCUGUUUCCUGGCACGUUUUCAUGACAGUGUUCAAGUCGCCCCAAAGUCAGGAAGCAGGAGACGCAGCCUCCGUCUCUCCAUGUGUGAAGAAACCAGACUUCAGGAGGGCCAAGGGUCCAGUGUCCAAUGUCCAACC
Molecule: non-coding RNA, 2256 nt
Organism: Ictidomys tridecemlineatus (thirteen-lined ground squirrel)
Lineage: Eukaryota; Metazoa; Chordata; Mammalia; Rodentia; Sciuridae
Source: RefSeq, a predicted model, not a curated record